RNAcentral lists this ribosomal RNA (143 nucleotides) under uncultured eukaryote. RNAcentral's name for it is "partial 18S small subunit ribosomal RNA". It matches the Rfam family "Eukaryotic small subunit ribosomal RNA", at positions 1329 to 1495 of the family's 1831-position model. The record is from RNAcentral.
UAACGAGCGAGACCUUAACUUUUAAAUAGGCACGCUAGCAUUUGCUGGUGCUGCCUUCUUAAAAGGACUAUCUAUGUCAAGUAGAUGGAAGUUUGAGGCAAUAACAGGUCUGUGAUGCCCUUAGACGUUCUGGGCCGCACGCG